AGGGAGGGAGGCGCUGGGCGCAGAGCGGGCAGCGAGACUGGAGAACUGUGGAGCUGGGACGCCCCGCCGGGGUUGCGCCCAGUCGGGGAGGGGCAUGGCGAGACCUGCCCCCCAGCUUUGUCUUAGUUACUCUGAGGCAAGGGGCUGCGCUGGGCCGGAGCAACUAUACAGUGCCUGGCCCCGCCGACCCUCAAAGUGUCCCGGCUAUAUUGCAACCGCGGCGCAGGGAGAACACAGGAAAGGAGUGGUCACUGUGCCGACAAAGGGUAACUGCCAUUAUUAAGCACCCAGGCUGGCCAGGCGCCGUCACCACCCCUUCUGUCCCGCGGUGGCAGCCCAGGCACACAGGGCACAGGCAUGUGUCCUAGGAUUGUGGAAGAGGCAGCGCUGGGAUACGAACCUGGGACAUGGGGCUCUUGGCCCCCUGCGACAGGCUGAGGAAGACUUGUGCUUGAACCAGGCUUUGAAAAUUGGGGAGGGUUUGAUGGGUGCAGGUAACGGAGCAAGCUCUGCCCUCAUGGCCGUGAGACCUCGGGAAGACGUUUGAUCUUGGUGGGCCGCACUUUCCUCCUCCGUAAAAGUGGCCGCACUUAGGAAAACGAGUAACUAAUAUGUCCACCUCCUAGCAAAUUAUUGGAAGGAACAUGAGAAACCUUCUCUCUUAAAACAGAGUUAGAAGAUGCGCUGAUACCGGAUUUCUGUGCCUACGUGGUGGGCAGCAUUCGGCUGGAGCUGCCAGCUCUGUUUCCUCUAGAAGGCGUCGUCCUCUUCAGUUUGCUGGUCCUCACUGUUUACAGGAUUCAGGCGUCUGUACUCACAUCUGGCCGCUGAGAGCAGGCCUACAGGACACCCCAAGUUUCCCUGCGUCCUCUCCUGCCACCCUGAAACCUGUUCUUCACACAACAGCCUGACUCAUCUCUUAAAAUAUGACCGCCAACAACCUCCCAACUGGAUACCUAAAUCUGAGGGUAACUCUUCUAACUGGUGAUUGACAUCUGCCGAAGCAAAGAAUCAGGAAAAUGGAGUAGAUGCAGCUUUCCCUAUUUCCCUUGCUAAAUACAGUUAAAAACCCUGGACACCGUAUACACAGGGACUGUAUAUGGAACAAACUUAAGAAGACUAUGAAAAGUGGAGAGAAGAGCAGAUCACAUAGGGACAUUCAGACCCAAGAAAUAAUAUGGUGGUCAGUUCCCGAGUUUUCUUUUUGCUUCACAUUUCGCAGACUGGAUCUGGAGAAGCCAGAAACCAGAAACCUGGAACUUGGAGACAUCAACAGGCACAGACAAAAAAAAAGAUCCUUAAACCAAAGGCCCAGGAACAGAGCAGCCUAGCAAGACAGGAAUGAAGAGGAAAUGAAGACGUUCUCAGAUGAAGGAAGACUAAGGGAAUUUGUCACCAGCAGACCUACCCCAAAAUAAUGGCUAAAGAAAGUUGUCUAAACAGAAAGGCAAUGAUAGAGAAAAUGGAGUCCUAGAACAUCAGGCGGGAAAGAAGAACACUGCAAGAGCAAAAAUAUAGGUGAAAAAUAGACUUUCCUACUUUUUUUUUUUUUUUUUUAGGAAUAUUAGCCCUGAGCUAACUGCUGUCAAUCCUCCUCUUUUUGCUGAGGAAGACUGG
Non-coding RNA from Equus caballus (horse), 1617 nucleotides. Lineage: Eukaryota; Metazoa; Chordata; Mammalia; Perissodactyla; Equidae. The record is from RefSeq and is a predicted model, not a curated record.